AGUUUGUUGUGAUAGUCAGCAUAAUAAAUUUCAAGCCUCUGACCUAUGAUGACUACACCUUCCCUCUGUGGGCAAACCGCAUUGGCUGGGGAAUAGCAUUAUCCUCAAUGAUCCUUGUGCCUGCCUACAUCAUCUAUAAAUUUAUGAAUGUGCGUGGGACCUUUAAGGAAAGGCUAGCUUACUGCAUCACACCUGAAAAUGAGCACCAACUCGUGGCCCAAGGAAAUGUCAGGCAGUUUAAGCUCCAACACUGGCUAACAAUAUGACAACCAACAGAUCAAGGAAAAAGCCCACGUUCAGCUAAACUGAGAAUACAGAAAAGUCAAGUUCAAAGCUCCCUCACUUAUGCUUGGACCAGGCUGGCCCAGAGCUUAUCUACUGACUCUUUGAGGGAAAAAUCUGCUCUCUGUUGUCAAUGCCUCCCUUCUAUUACUUGGCUUCAAAUGAUCUUUAAAGACUCCAUUUAAUUUUUCUUGCAUCCUUUGGUGCCAUGAGAUCCCUACAUGACCAAAACUUGUGAGUUUUGCUAUAGCCAGAAGUGGAGGAGGGGGGAGCAGAGGAAAAGAGCAAUCAGGAUAAGUUAAGUGCUUUUUUUAUUGUGAAGAAGUGAAUUAAACUUUUCUGACAGUAAUAACUUCUUCAGAUAUUCAUGCCACAACCUAUUUUAAACCAACACCACCUGAGCGCUCUUAGAGCUAAGGAAAGAGUACACCUCAGUUAUGACAAAAGAGCAAUUUUAACUACUCAUGUCAUUCAUUAGCUUUCUUGCCAUACUGUCCUUUGGGAUGUGAGUUUGCAUCCUUCUGAAAUGAAGACUCAGUGCUUCAUUUUCAGUGGUUUUUAUUAGUUCCUUCACUUGGUGAAGAACAUUGUCUUUGCUGUACACGUCUGUGCCAUUUUCUCACCAGUUCCAUUACACUGAAGCUGAAGAGCAGCAGGAACAAAUUCCUGUUACAGUUACUAGUGCAGAACACAGCUUAAUAUCACAGUGUACUUCAUGAAAGAGAAAUCCCCCUUUAUCAACAAUUGAAAUGGCUUUAUCAUAUGAUCCACACUCUGCAGACUUCUCCAGCUAGGCAUAACAGUUACAUCCAAAUAGACAGACUCCCAUCCUUUUCUUGAAUUUUGUUCCAAAUAAAGAAUGUAAAAUACAUAAGAGGAGAUAAUUUUUAGAAUUAUAAAAUUACCAAGU
This is a non-coding RNA of Sturnus vulgaris (Common starling), 1192 nucleotides long. NCBI's taxonomy places the organism in Eukaryota, Metazoa, Chordata, Aves, Passeriformes, Sturnidae. The record is from RefSeq and is a predicted model, not a curated record.